AGCGAACGCUGGCGGCAGGCCUAACACAUGCAAGUCGAACGCACCUUUCGGGGUUAGUGGCGGACGGGUGAGUAACACGUGGGAACGUGCCUUUAGGUUCGGAAUAACUCAGGGAAACUUGUGCUAAUACCGAAUGUGCCCUUCGGGGGAAAGAUUUAUCGCCUUUAGAGCGGCCCGCGUCUGAUUAGCUAGUUGGUUGAGGUAAUGGCUCACCAAGGCGACGAUCAGUAGCUGGUCUGAGAGGAUGAUCAGCCACAUUGGGACUGAGACACGGCCCAAACUCCUACGAGAGGCAGCAGUGGGGAAUGUUGCGCAAUGGGCGAAAGCCUGACGCAGCCAUGCCGCGUGAAUGAUGAAGGUCUUAGGAUUGUAAAAUUCUUUCACCGGGGACGAUAAUGACGGUACCCGGAGAAGAAGCCCCGGCUAACUUCGUG
This 434-nucleotide ribosomal RNA is filed under the name uncultured bacterium. Its description in RNAcentral is "partial 16S ribosomal RNA". It matches the Rfam family "Bacterial small subunit ribosomal RNA", at positions 29 to 507 of the family's 1533-position model. The record is from RNAcentral.